Cucurbita moschata (crookneck pumpkin) is the source of this 2108-nucleotide RNA transcript. It is a transcript of the gene named E3 ubiquitin-protein ligase RGLG2-like, with no coding region annotated. The transcript is spliced from 13 exons. The record is from RefSeq and is a predicted model, not a curated record. Lineage: Eukaryota; Viridiplantae; Streptophyta; Magnoliopsida; Cucurbitales; Cucurbitaceae.
GCACUGUUUGCGUGUAGAGAUUAUGAAUUGAUUAUGCAAUCGUAGCCGGUUUAAUGUUUUGACGAAGACCCAAACCCAAUUUCUCUAUUCCUUGGGCCACACUUCGUCUCGAUUUUCUUCAAUAAUUUAUAGAUUUUGAAACUUACCCAAGUGAUUAAACCUCCUAGAUUCAUGGUCAAUCUCUUGUGAUUAUCGGAUAGGAGACUACAGGAAACUUCUGUACUGUAGAGGUCCCUUCUAGCGUUGGAUUUUCGACGGCAGGGUUUAUUGAACUGGUCGUAGCUACUAUUACCUUUCUUGGUCUUUUUUUAUUCAUUUUUCUGCUUGAUCUUUGCUGCGAUUUCAGAAACAGAUAUAAAUACACAGAUAUUAGUAUUGGAUUUUAUCAUUGGUUCAUAUGUUCUUUGUUCUUUUGCAGGUGAUUAGUUGACUUUUUGUGUGCUGAGGAAUUUGCAGAUUUUUGAGCUAUGGGAAGUAAGAAUUCGAAGGAAACGGAUCAAAGAGAGUUUGAUUCAGAUGGGUUUGGGAAUUCUUCAACGUGGGGUUAUGACAAUUAUCCUCCACCUUCGCCGUAUGUUCAGGAAUAUUCAUAUCCACAACGCUUUGAUUAUGGGUCACAAACACCACUACCACAGAGGAGGUUGGAUAGGAAAUAUUCAAGAAUUGCUGACCAUUACCAAUCCUUGGAUGAGGUGACAGCAGCUCUUGCUCAAGCUGGACUAGAGUCCUCUAAUCUCAUUGUGGGAAUCGAUUUCACGAAGAGCAACGAGUGGACAGGUUCAAGGUCGUUUAAUCGACGUAGUUUACACCACAUCGGGAACACACAGAAUCCAUAUGAACAAGCCAUAUCUAUUAUUGGACAGACCUUAUCAGCUUUUGAUGAGGACAACAUGAUUCCAUGUUAUGGAUUUGGAGAUGCAUCUACACAUGAUCAAAAUGUCUUUAGCUUUUACGACGAUGACAGGAUCUGUAAUGGAUUUGAGGAAGUUUUGCAUCGUUACAAAGAAAUCGUCCCCAACUUACGACUUGCAGGACCUACAUCUUUUGCACCAAUCAUUGAGAUGGCCAUGACAAUAGUUGAGCAAACUGGUGGUCAGUACCAUGUUUUGCUGAUAAUUGCAGAUGGCCAAGUCACAAGAAGUGUCGACACAAAUAACGGUCAACUAAGUUCACAAGAACGAAACACCGUCGAUGCGAUUGUUAGAGCAAGUGAGUACCCGUUGUCAAUUAUCUUGGUCGGAGUCGGAGACGGGCCAUGGGACAUGAUGAAGAAUUUUGACGACAACAUCCCAGCUCGAGCUUUCGAUAACUUUCAGUUUGUUAAUUUCACUGAGAUUAUGUCAAAAAAUGUAAACUCUACCAGAAGGCAGACUGAGUUUGCUCUAGCUGCCUUAAUGGAAAUACCUUCUCAAUAUCAGGCUACUCUAGAGCUUGGCCUAUUGGGUCGACGACGAGGGAGUUCGCCAGAGAGAGUUCCUCUUCCACCUCCUUUGUACAGCACGACGCCGUUCAACAGCUACCCGAGGACCCCACGAGCCAACAGUUUUCAGACUCGAACACCUUCACAUGGUAGAUAUAACCAAGGAGUUGGCACAACUUCAUCCACCAGUUCUCAUUAUGAUAACCAGAUUUGCCCCAUUUGUCUCACUAAUCCGAAGGACAUGGCUUUUGGUUGCGGGCAUCAGACAUGCUGCGACUGCGGAGAAACACUCGAGUCGUGCCCCAUCUGCCGAAGCUCUAUUCAGACUAGAAUAAGGCUUUAUUAAGUCCUGCCAUGUGAUACCUAUGGCUCAUUUAUUUCAUUUUUUGGAUCCUCAACUCCUGCAAUGGGCCAGGUCUCUCGAAGCGAGGUACAACGGGAAGGGUGUGUUUGUACAUAUGGUGGAUGUUUUUGUUAGCCUGCCUCAUCACUGACUAUACACAACUAUACCUGUUUGUAGAAGCUUCAAAGGGAGUUCGUUUUAAUCUUGUUUCGUUCUUAGAAAUCAUUUUUACGUGCGUACGUCGUUGUAUAUAUCGGUUUCUGGGUUGUAAUAAAUCUUCCUGCUUGUUUAUCAUCAACUAAGCAGAUGUUUUUUUUCCGAAAUAAGAUUCAUCAUUGUCAUUGA